UUGGUGCGCGGCGGUGCGCGGGGCGUCGGAGCCUCCACUCGGCGCUCGGCUCCCGCACCGCCCUCGCCCCCUCAGUCGCCUAGGGCCGGCGCCGCCGGAGCGGUGGCGGAUGCAGCUGUUGCUCCCAGGCUUGCUCGGACCCUGCACCUUCCCGUUUUCAACAGUUUCGGCAGCAGAAAUCCCAGCGUGGGCAAGUUUGUGAGCGAUAAACCCGGCCGCUUCCCGGGCUGGGACGCCCCAGCUGUGCGAAAGAGCUGCCUUUUCAUUCAUUGGGAAAUAUCGAAGGACUUAGGAAGCGGGUGGCUAGCUUUUUUGUUGUUGCCGCCGCUUGUGUGAAUUUCUGCAAGGACCGGGAUUUCCACGGGGAUCUGAAGAUUUUUCCUCAGAACCUGCUUAGCUCCGGCGCGCUAGUGUGGGGAGUUGCGGAGUUCUAGCGUUAAUUGAAUUUUCACGCCGCAGUUUACAGGUGCAUAUAAUUGCCUCAGAUUGGCGUUGAAUUUACUGAGGGACUUGCAGUUGUACACUAAAUAUUCGUCCUUUAUUUUUGGAGCAGAAUGUAUUUGUGGCGUCCUUUUACCUGGAAACCUACGAGCCUCGUAAACCUACCUAUCCUUUGUAUAAUUUCACUUUUCAGGGAGAAUAAUUUUGGGUGCACCGAUUAGGAAGCUGUUCAGCAGUGUUUGGGUAGAAUGAAAGCCUGAAGUAAUUGGAAUUGAUGUUCCAAGGUUUCUGAGAGAAUUUCUGGAGGAACUAAUGAGCAAGAACAGUACACAUGAGAAUCUUAAGUUCUUUCAAAAAAUAACUGAAGGAUCUUGAAAUACAUUUUCAGAUACCUCAAGAAGAGAGAUUUAGUGGAUUUCUUCUCAGAUCACUUUUCUUUCACAUGGUAUUAAUAAUGUUUAUAGUUUUAAAAAUGGGUGCCUCAUGAAUAUGCCCAUCAUCCAGUUCUUGAUUAGACACAUACAAGUAUUCUUUCAGUGUAUUUUGUAUUUAGAUCAAUUUUUAAUGUUUUUAUACUUCGGUAAUUUUAAUAUUUAAACCCAUCUUUGUUUAAAGCAGGUUAAAGAAAGUUACAUGAAACGUAGAGGAGUUUGUGUAUUACAGGUUUGGUCCUUUUGUCUUUUGAACAGUAAACUGGGGAGGUCAGAUCUUACCCUGUGGUUAUUGAGCUACUUGAUUUUUUGUUUCAAAAGAACAUAAUACGUUGAUGAUAGCCUGCAUUAUAUUACUACUCCUGUUGAUAGGUUUUCUGAAUCCUGAAAUAGGUUUUCUGAAUCCUGAAAUGUCUCAAAAAAUUGAGAAACAAGAGUCCAGUUUCCAUGUGUUUGUUUUAGGAGCUGUAUCUUUAAAAGCCAUCAUAUUCCUUACUAAGCUCUUCCAUUAUUUUAACAUAAUCUAAUAGUAUUUGAGAAAAGAGUUAAUGCAUUGGGCCUCAACUCAGACUGCGUGUUAGAAUCACUUGGGGGGAAUUGGGUUUUUAAAAACAAAUUUUUUUAAACAUUGAUCCCUAAGUCCCAUGCUCAGAGGCUAAUCAGUUUAGUUUGACAUGGGGCCUGGGCAGAGGUAUAUUUUAAAAGCACUGUGUAUGAUUAACCCUGCAGUCAGAGUUGAAAACCACUGGGUUAUUGUUUUUAGCAUAUUACUGUAGAACUUUCAAAUGGAUAAAUAAGAAAAUGGAUUUUUCCCAUCUACUUUCAAUUGCCAGCAUAAUUACCAUUUACUAAGCAUUAAUUACAUGUCAACAAUGGUAAGCAUCUCAAUUUGCUAUAUAAUGUAAAUAGUAUUAUUUCCACUAUGAGAAACUGUCAGCUUCAUCCAAGUGAUAUUUCAAAUUCUGUGCCAUACCAGUGAAAUGGUACUUACUACUGUUUAAAAAAACAAAAGCAUUUAGAACUUUUGGGUUAUUUGCUGUGCCAGAAUAGCUUUAGUUUUGUUUUUAAGAUGUCAAAAUAGUCUGCAAUUUGAGAAGUGUCUUGGUUGGCCAAGGGAGAUGGUAAGAUUUUGUAGUGAAUAAUACUUUGCUUUCCAUGUCUCCCAGCACAUUCAAAUUAAUUGUUUAGUUGGUGGAUUUGCUUGUGACUAAAACAGUAUUAGGCAACUUAACAUUCCUGAAAGAUGUAAAAAUGCAUUUGUCUCUUGGUAAUUUAAAUUAUCGCAUAAAUGAACAUGUAUCAUGAAAUUCAGUUAUUUCUGUUUGAGAAAUCUGAGUUUUAUUUAACUUAGCUUAAAAUCUGCCAGGU
This is a non-coding RNA of Castor canadensis (American beaver), 2240 nucleotides long. NCBI's taxonomy places the organism in Eukaryota, Metazoa, Chordata, Mammalia, Rodentia, Castoridae. The record is from RefSeq and is a predicted model, not a curated record.